UAUAUAUAUAUAUACAGGAAUGUGUGUAAAUCACGAAAAUUAACACGUGAUGAAAAUGUGACAGUGUCAGACUACGGAGGAACAAUUGAAACAAGAAUUUCCUUAAGUACUUUCGUUUAUUAAUACAUGUUCAGAAGGAAUAGGAAUGAUUCCUAUUCAGUGACAGUCACUGGAAUAGGAAUAGGAAUCAUUCCUAUUCCUUUUGAAGAUGUAUUAAUAUACGAAAGUACUUAAGGAAAUUCCAAUUUCAAUUCUUCCUCCGUGGUCUGACACUGUCAUAUACAGGAAUGAAAAGGUGAAUAUAUUAUCACUGUAAAAUGUUUAGAUUAAGUCCGCGCGCCGGGAUGCCUUUCCGAGAUUUUCGGGCGUUUUAUACGGAGAAUAGUUUCACCUUUCUAAGGAAUGAUUACUCUCGGAGGUAAUGUCACAGGACUAAUUAUACCUAAGAGUAAUGUAACACGGAAUGAUUAUGCCUUGGAGUAAUCCUGUACAGUACAUCUGGAGGGAUCUUACACUAUACACCAAGUACCUCUGUUGUCAUACAAUGCAUUUACCUAAAUCUGUUUUUGUACAGUCUAUUUGUUACACCUAAGAACAAGCAACAAACCCAUCGAGUCGAUUUCAAAAGUGCAGGUGUUGAGUGGUCGUACAGCAGUGAUAGGUGAGGGGUAGGUGUCUCCAAGUGCAGGUGUUGAGUGGUCGUACAGCAGUGAUGGGUCAGGGGGUAGGUGUCUCCAAGUGCAGGUGUUGAGUGGUCGUACAGCAGUGAUGGGUCAGGGGGGUAGGUGUCUCCAAGUGCAGG
Procambarus clarkii (red swamp crayfish) is the source of this 802-nucleotide non-coding RNA. The record is from RefSeq and is a predicted model, not a curated record. Lineage: Eukaryota; Metazoa; Arthropoda; Malacostraca; Decapoda; Cambaridae.